ACUCCUACGGGAGGCAGCAGUGGGGAAUAUUGCACAAUGGGGGAAACCCUGAUGCAGCCAUGCCGCGUGUGUGAAGAAGGCCUUCGGGUUGUAAAGCACUUUCAGUAGGGAGGAAAGGGUGAGUCUUAAUACGGCUCAUCUGUGACGUUACCUACAGAAGAAGGACCGGCUAACUCCGUGCCAGCAGCCGCGGUAAUACGGAGGGUCCGAGCGUUAAUCGGAAUUACUGGGCGUAAAGCGUGCGCAGGCGGUUUGUUAAGCGAGAUGUGAAAGCCCUGGGCUCAACCUAGGAAUAGCAUUUCGAACUGGCGAACUAGAGUCUUGUAGAGGGGGGUAGAAUUCCAGGUGUAGCGGUGAAAUGCGUAGAGAUCUGGAGGAAUACCGGUGGCGAAGGCGGCCCCCUGGACAAAGACUGACGCUCAUGCACGAAAGCGUGGGGAGCAAACAGGAUUAGAUACCCUGGUAGUCCACGCCGUAAACGAUGUCUACUCGGAGUUUGGUGUCUUGAACACUGGGCUCUCAAGCUAACGCAUUAAGUAGACCGCCUGGGGAGUACGGCCGCAAGGUUAAAACUCAAAUGAAUUGACGGGGGCCCGCACAAGCGGUGGAGCAUGUGGUUUAAUUCGAUGCAACGCGAAGAACCUUACCUACUCUUGACAUCCACAGAAGACUGCAGAGAUGCGGUUGUGCCUUCGGGAACUGUGA
RNAcentral lists this ribosomal RNA (705 nucleotides) under uncultured Shewanella sp. RNAcentral describes it as "bacterial SSU rRNA". It matches the Rfam family "Bacterial small subunit ribosomal RNA", at positions 335 to 1032 of the family's 1533-position model. Lineage: Bacteria; Pseudomonadati; Pseudomonadota; Gammaproteobacteria; Alteromonadales; Shewanellaceae. The record is from RNAcentral.